GUAACUCUGCACUAUUACAUAAUGAUAGAUAAGUGCUAUUUGCGUAGGAAAAUAUAAUGCUCCAUUGUUUAUACUUUUGUUGCUGACCCGGUUUAUGAGGGCCUGCAGAAGUUAAUGUAUGUGACUAUAAUAACAUUAUACUACUGUAAUUACUUCAUAUAGGAUGUGUAACCAUCCCUGGAAAACAAAAUGCUCAAUACGGAAAGGAUCAAUGUUAAGUCAGUUCACAUAAUGGACUAAAUGAACGGAUGGGAUUCAUCUUCCGGUGUGUAUGUGUACAAAGGCUUUGAGAAGAUUGAAGAAAUGGAACGCCUUCAAAUUUGGCGGACAUCACAGAAAUCGAUUAAAUUCGAUUGAUUUCUGCGACAUUUUUGGUUAUCGUUGAGUCCAAAUUCAGCCAUAAAAGAAAGUACAACUGGGUCUUUGGGAUGUUGGAGGUCAACAGAGGUAAUAGAUGACCCGAUUUGAAAAUGGUACCUUCAAGCUCACGCAGAGUACUGAUCCCGAUCAUUAGAAAACAACAUCAAAAGAGGAUCAACCAUCUACAGUGACUCGUGGAGAGCAUAUGUGCAGGCGCUGAAUCCACUAGGUUAUCAGCAUCACACUGUGAACCACAGGCAGAACUUUGUUGAUCCACAUUCGAGCAGCCACACACAGCACAUUGAACGCUCUUUGCAGAUGAUCAAAAAACAGGUCUGGAGACUAAAAGGGAAUCAAUCAGAGAAAAUGUUGAAGAACCAUUUGAAAUGUAUUGAAUGGACUUACUGGUUGGGCAAAAAACACAGGGGAGGCAUCUUCGGACAACUGAUCAACAACAUUAAGAAGAGAUAUAAAGUGUGACUGAAUUUUUUGGAGGGAGAAAAGCACAUAUUGGGC
RNAcentral lists this long non-coding RNA (876 nucleotides) under Salmo salar (Atlantic salmon). Its description in RNAcentral is "lncRNA (ENSSSAG00000104375.1, ENSSSAG00020013159.1)". The record is from RNAcentral. Lineage: Eukaryota; Metazoa; Chordata; Actinopteri; Salmoniformes; Salmonidae.